Molecule: ribosomal RNA, 252 nt
Filed under: uncultured bacterium
Lineage: Bacteria
Description: partial 16S ribosomal RNA
Rfam family: Archaeal small subunit ribosomal RNA
Source: RNAcentral
CCCCAGCGCCACGAGUGGCAACCGUAUAUUUGGCCUAAAGCGUCCGUAGCUGGCCUGCUCAAUCCUUUGUGAAAUUGUCGCGCUCAACGCAACAACGUGCAGAGGACACUGACAGGCUCGAGACCGGGAGGAGUUAGAGGUAUGUCCGGGGGAGCGGUAAAAUGUGAUAAUCCCGGAUGGACCACCUGUGGCGAAGGCGUCUAACUAGAACGGUUCUGACAGUGAGGGACGAAAGCUAGGGGAGCAAACCGG